This 491-nucleotide ribosomal RNA is filed under the name uncultured bacterium. RNAcentral's name for it is "partial 16S ribosomal RNA". It matches the Rfam family "Bacterial small subunit ribosomal RNA", at positions 29 to 506 of the family's 1533-position model. The record is from RNAcentral.
AGUGAACGCUGGCGGUAGGCCUAACACAUGCAAGUCGAACGGCAGCACAGUAAGAGCUUGCUCUUACGGGUGGCGAGUGGCGGACGGGUGAGGAAUACAUCGGAAUCUACUUUUUCGUGGGGGAUAACGUAGGGAAACUUACGCUAAUACCGCAUACGACCUACGGGUGAAAGCAGGGGAUCUUCGGACCUUGCGCGAUUGAAUGAGCCGAUGUCGGAUUAGCUAGUUGGCGGGGUAAAGGCCCACCAAGGCGACGAUCCGUAGCUGGUCUGAGAGGAUGAUCAGGCACCCUGGACAUGAGACACGGUCCAGGCGCCUACGGGAGGCAGCAGGGGGGAAUAUUGGACAAUGGGCGCAAGCCUGAUCCAGCCAUACCGCGUGGGUGAAGAAGGCCUUCGGGUUGUAAAGCCCUUUUGUUGGGAAAGAAAAGCAGCAGGUUAAUACCCCGCUGUUCUGACGGUACCCAAAGAAUAAGCACCGGCUAACUUCGU